This 446-nucleotide ribosomal RNA is filed under the name uncultured bacterium. RNAcentral's name for it is "partial 16S ribosomal RNA". It matches the Rfam family "Bacterial small subunit ribosomal RNA", at positions 338 to 795 of the family's 1533-position model. The record is from RNAcentral.
CCUACGGGUGGCAGCAGUCGAGAAUCAUUCACAAUGGGGGAAACCCUGAUGGUGCGACGCCGCGUGGGGGAAUGCAGGUCUUCGGAUUGUAAACUCCUGUCAUGUGGGAGCAAAUUAAAAAGAUAGUACCACAAGAGGAAGAGCCGGCUAACUCGGUGCCAGCAGCCGCGGUACUACAGAGGUCUCAAGCGUUGUUCGGAAUCACUGGGCGUAAAGCGUGCGUAGGCUGUUUCGUAAGUCGUGUGUGAAAGGCGCGGGCUCAACCCGCGGACGGCACAUGAUACUGCGAGACUAGAGUAAUGGAGGGGGAACCGGAAUUCGCGGUGUAGCAGUGAAAUGCGUAGAUAUCGAGAGGAACACUCGUGGCGAAGGCGGGUUCCUGGACAUUAACUGACGCUGAGGCACGAAGGCCAGGGGAGCGAAAGGGAUUAGAUACCCUUGUAGUC